This 254-nucleotide ribosomal RNA is filed under the name uncultured bacterium. Its description in RNAcentral is "partial 16S ribosomal RNA". It matches the Rfam family "Bacterial small subunit ribosomal RNA", at positions 524 to 776 of the family's 1533-position model. The record is from RNAcentral.
UACGUAGGGUGCGAGCGUUGUCCGGAAUUAUUGGGCGUAAAGAGCUCGUAGGCGGUGUGUCACGUCGGUCGUGAAAACUUGGGGCUUAACCCUGAGCUUGCGGUCGAUACGGGCAUCACUUGAGUUCGGCAGGGGAGACUGGAAUUCCUGGUGUAGCGGUGAAAUGCGCAGAUAUCAGGAGGAACACCGGUGGCGAAGGCGGGUCUCUGGGCCGAUACUGACGCUGAGGAGCGAAAGCGUGGGGAGCGAACAGG